UCGGGAAUCUUGGGCAAUGGGCGAAAGCCUGACCCAGCGAUGCCGCGUGUGUGAAGAAGGCCCUAGGGUUGUAAAGCACUUUCAGCAGUGAAGUAAUGCCGGGAGCUAAUAUCUCCUCGGUUUUGACGUUAACUGCAGAAGAAGCAUCGGCUAACUCCGUGCCAGCAGCCGCGGUAAUACGGAGGGUGCGAACGUUAAUCGGAAUUACUGGGCGUAAAGCGCGCGUAGGCGGUUUGAUAAGUGGGAUGUGAAAGCCCCGGGCUUAACCUGGGAACUGCAUUCCAAACUGUCAGGCUAGAGUAUGGUAGAGGGAGGUAGAAUUUCCUGUGUAGCGGUGAAAUGCGUAGAUAUAGGAAGGAAUACCGGUGGCGAAGGCGGCCUCCUGGACCAAUACUGACGCUGAGGUGCGAAAGCGUGGGGAGCAAACAGGAUUAGAUACCCGUGUAGUCC
Molecule: ribosomal RNA, 450 nt
Filed under: uncultured prokaryote
Description: bacterial SSU rRNA
Rfam family: Bacterial small subunit ribosomal RNA
Source: RNAcentral